AUGAUGGGUUACUAUGAAGUUAUGAGCGUGCAGAGACAUGCCUCACUCGAGGAUAUCAAAAAGGCAUACAGGAAGCAGGCACUCAAGUGGCACCCACAUAAAAAUCACGAGAAUAAAGAAGCAGAGCGAAAGUUCAAAAAAGUAGCAGAGGCCUAGGAGGUAUUAUCAGAUGCUAGAAGCGGGACAUCUAUGACAAAUAUGGCAAAGAAGGAUUAGAUGGAGGAGGAGGUGGGGGAGGUCACUUUGACAGUCCGUCUGAGUUUGGCUUCACAUUCCACAAUCCAGAUGAUGUCUUCAGGGAAUUUUUUGGUGGCAGGGACCCAUUUUCAUUCUAUUUCCUUGAAGACCCAUUUAAUGUUUUUUUUGAUAACCGAAGGGAUGCCCGAGGAAGCAGAAACAGAGGCACGGGCUCCUUUUUCUCAGCCUUCAGUGGAUUUCCAUCAUUUGGAAGUGGAUUUUCUUCAUUCGAUACAGGAUUCACUCAGUUCAGAUUACCCGGUCACGGGGGUCUCACUUCCUUCUCUUCAACUCGUUUGGAGGCAGUGGGAUGGGCAACUUGAAGUCAAUAUCAACUUCCACUAAAAUAGUUAAUGGCAGAAAAAUCACUACAAAAAGAAAUGUGGAGAAUGGUCAAGAGAGAGUAGAAGUUGAGGAAGACAGCCAGUUAGAGUCCUUGAUGGUAGGUGGGAAGGAGCAGCUGCUACGCUUGGAUAACAAGUAA
RNA transcript from Nannospalax galili (Upper Galilee mountains blind mole rat), 721 nucleotides. It is a transcript of the gene named dnaJ homolog subfamily B member 6-like, with no coding region annotated. The transcript has a single exon. The record is from RefSeq and is a predicted model, not a curated record. Lineage: Eukaryota; Metazoa; Chordata; Mammalia; Rodentia; Spalacidae.